Molecule: ribosomal RNA, 680 nt
Filed under: Thalassiosira minuscula
Lineage: Eukaryota; Bacillariophyta; Thalassiosirophyceae; Thalassiosirales; Thalassiosiraceae
Description: partial Bacterial large subunit ribosomal RNA
Rfam family: Bacterial large subunit ribosomal RNA
Source: RNAcentral
UGUCUGAACAUGGGGGGACCAUCCUCCAAGGCUAAAUACUCCUUACCGACCGAUAGUGAACCAGUACCGUGAGGGAAAGGCGAAAAGAACCCCGUUGAGGGGAGUGAAAUAGAACCUGAAACCGUGUGCGUACAAGCAGUAGGAGCAGACUUGUUCUGUGACUGCGUACCUUUUGUAUAAUGGGUCAGCGACUUAAUUUAUGUAGCGAGCUUAACCGAAUAGGGGAGGCGCAGGGAAACCGAGUCUUAAUAGGGCGACUAGUUGCAUGGAUUAGACCCGAAACCUGGCGAUCUAUCCAUGGUCAGGGUGAAGGUGAGGUAACACUUACUGGAGGCCCGAACUCACGUAUGUUGAAAAAUGCGGAGAUGAACUGUGGAUCGGAGUGAAAGGCUAAUCAAGCCAGGAGAUAGCUGGUUCUCCUCGAAAGCUAUUUAGGUAGCGCCUCGUAUCUCACUCUCGGGGGUAGAGCACUGUUUGGGCUAGGGGGUCAUCCCGACUUACCAAACCGAUGCAAACUCCGAAUACCUACAAGUGCCGAGCAUGGGAGACACACGGCGGGUGCUAACGUCCGUCGUGAAAAGGGAAACAACCCUAACCAUCAUCUAAGGUCCCCAAGUCAUGGCUAAGUGGGAAAGGAUGUGAGGAUCCCAAAACAACCAGGAUGUUGGCUUAGAAGCAGC